GGGCCCGCACAAGCGGUGGAGCAUGUGGUUCAAUUCGACGCAACGCGAAGAACCUUACCCAGGCUUGAACAGCGAGUGACCACUCCCGAAAGGGAGCUUCCGCAAGGACACUCGUAGAGGUGCUGCAUGGCUGUCGUCAGCUCGUGUCGUGAGAUGUUGGGUUAAGUCCCGCAACGAGCGCAACCCUUGUCUGCUGUUGCCAUCACGUUAUGGUGGGCACUCUGCAGAGACUGCCGGUGAUAAACCGGAGGAAGGUGGGGAUGACGUCAAGUCAGCAUGGCCUUUAUGUCUGGGGCUACACACGUGCUACAAUGGCCGGUACAAACCGUCGCGAUACCGUAAGGUGGAGCUAAUCGGAGAAAGCCGGUCUCAGUUCGGAUUGUAGGCUGCAACUCGCCUGCAUGAAGUUGGAAUCGCUAGUAAUCGCGGAUCAGCACGCCGCGGUGAAUACGUUCCCGGGCCUU
This 464-nucleotide ribosomal RNA is filed under the name uncultured bacterium. Its description in RNAcentral is "bacterial SSU rRNA". It matches the Rfam family "Bacterial small subunit ribosomal RNA", at positions 917 to 1382 of the family's 1533-position model. The record is from RNAcentral.